CCGAACGGUAACAGGAUGUGCUUGCACAUCGCUGACGAGUGGCGGACGGGUGAGUAAUGCUUGGGAACUUGCCUUUGCGAGGGGGAUAACAGUUGGAAACGACUGCUAAUACCGCAUAAUGUUUUCGAACCAAACGGGGCUUCGGCUCCGGCGCAAAGAGAGGCCCAAGUGAGAUUAGCUAGUUGGUAAGGUAACGGCUUACCAAGGCGACGAUCUCUAGCUGUUCUGAGAGGAAGAUCAGCCACACUGGGACUGAGACACGGCCCAGACUCCUACGGGAGGCAGCAGUGGGGAAUAUUGCACAAUGGGGGAAACCCUGAUGCAGCCAUGCCGCGUGUGUGAAGAAGGCCUUCGGGUCGUAAAGCACUUUCAGUUGUGAGGAAAAGUUAGUAGUUAAUACCUGCUAGCCGUGACGUUAACAACAGAAGAAGCACCGGCUAACUCCGUGCCAGCAGCCGCGGUAAUACGGAGGGUGCGAGCGUUAAUCGGAAUUACUGGGCGUAAAGCGCACGCAGGCGGUUUGUUAAGCUAGAUGUGAAAGCCCCGGGCUCAACCUGGGAUGGUCAUUUAGAACUGGCAGACUAGAGUCUUGGAGAGGGGAGUGGAAUUCCAGGUGUAGCGGUGAAAUGCGUAGAUAUCUGGAGGAACAUCAGUGGCGAAGGCGACUCCCCUGGCCAAAGACUGACCCUCAUGUGCGAAAGUGUGGGGUAGCCGAACAGGAUUA
This 724-nucleotide ribosomal RNA is filed under the name marine Alteromonadaceae bacterium RS.Sph.004. Its description in RNAcentral is "bacterial SSU rRNA". It matches the Rfam family "Bacterial small subunit ribosomal RNA", at positions 62 to 780 of the family's 1533-position model. The record is from RNAcentral. Lineage: Bacteria; Pseudomonadati; Pseudomonadota; Gammaproteobacteria; Alteromonadales; Alteromonadaceae.